This 497-nucleotide ribosomal RNA is filed under the name uncultured bacterium. RNAcentral's name for it is "partial 16S ribosomal RNA". It matches the Rfam family "Bacterial small subunit ribosomal RNA", at positions 28 to 507 of the family's 1533-position model. The record is from RNAcentral.
GAUGAACGCUGGCGGCGUGCCUAAUACAUGCAAGUCGAGCGAACGGACGAGAGGCUUGCUUUUCUGAUGUUAGCGGCGGACGGGUGAGUAACACGUGGAUAACCUACCUAUAAGACUGGGAUAACUUCGGGAAACCGGAGCUAAUACCGGAUAAUAUUUUGAACCGCAUGGUUCAAAAGUGAAAGACGGUCUUGCUGUCACUUAUAGAUGGAUCCGCGCUGCAUUAGCUAGUUGGUAAGGUAACGGCUUACCAAGGCAACGAUGCAUAGCCGACCUGAGAGGGUGGUCGGCCACACUGGAACGGAGACACGGUCCAGACUCCUACGGGAGGCAGCAGUAGGGAAUCUUCCGCAAUGGGCGAAAGCCUGACGGAGCAACGCCGCGUGAGUGAUGAAGGUCUUCGGAUCGUAAAACUCCGUUAUUAGGGAAGAACAUAUGUGUAAGUAACUGUGCACAUCUUGACGGUACCUAAUCAGAAAGCCACGGCUAACUACGUG